Heterocephalus glaber (naked mole-rat) is the source of this 1639-nucleotide long non-coding RNA. The record is from Ensembl. NCBI's taxonomy places the organism in Eukaryota, Metazoa, Chordata, Mammalia, Rodentia, Bathyergidae.
AUUCAGUUCCAGUACUUACCGAGCCUCUGUUCUGAGCCUAUGAGCCCCUUGGCAGGGCAGGGAGUCUGUCUUGCUCAUCCUGUCAUUCCAGGCCUAGCAUAGCCUGUGCAGUGUAGAAAAUUCUCAGAAAUAUUGUGUAGGUAGAAAGCACUGAGGAGUCAUGAGUAAGCAUUAGAUCAUUUUAGGAUCUUGCUCACUAAACAUGAAUCAAGUACAUAGCAGGACCAACUUCUGUAGCAGAAUCAUACAGAAUGGUCUUUGGGAUGGUUUUGAUCAUAGGGUCUGGAGUUAUACAUGCCUGCACUUAUGGUGGUGGGAUUACUGUGAGAAAGAUGUGCAACCUGUCUGUGCCUCAGCUACCACCAUCUGAAACCUGGGGGUCAUCAGUAGUAGGUGUCUUCACAUUGUGGUUGUGAGGAUGAAAUGUGAUCAUGUUUAUGAAAGGUUUAUUUAAUGCCUCAAAAUGUAAUUGUUCAGCAAAUAUUGGCUGUUGGUGUUUGUAUCUCAUGUAUUGAUCAAACCAAUUGACCAAUUCCAUGGCUAUGGGGAGCCAGGAAAGCUCACGAGAGCUCAACAUAAGAUUGAGGGCCUAAAGAUAACUCAGACAGAACAGAUGUUACAGCUUGAGGCAUUCAGGAAAGGGUGCCCAAGGGAAGAAGCCUCUGAUGUGGUUCUGAGGGACAGAGCGCCCUCUAGGAGAUACCAAGGGCAGGCAUGGUGAAUUCAGGGAUGCACCUGGCACGCUGGGACCCCCAGGAGAGGCUGUCUUGGUCACUGUGAGCGACUCCAAGGGGAAAGAGCCCAGGAUGGGUUGGGAUUUUGUCAUAUGGAGAUUUUAAGGCCCUUCUCUGGGUGGAGACAUCCAGAUCUGCUCUUCAGCUGCUCUAAGCACCUCUAGGAAAACUCAGAAAUCACUUCCCUGGACUUAAAAGUACAGCGUGAAUUUCAUCUCUUGAACACUCGGAGAGGGUUCUCUGUUUAAAAAACACCCUUGUUGUUUGAAGUUGCUGUCUGGAUAAAGCAGUGACCAGCAUAUUUCAAAGGGAUGACUCAGCUGUCUUAUGAGUCAGUCAGUCUCUCUCUCUCUCUCUCUCUCUCUCUGUCAGUCCCUCCCUGAAACACCCUGGCUUUGCCCUACAGGCUUAGGAGAAGGUACAGAAGUAAUUAGGCUCACAGUGUGACUCAUACAUUCAAGGCCAACCAGAUGUGAUUCCCGGAGGAGACCCUCUGAUGCACAACCUGCUUUUCAGCUCUGAGUGGGCACAUUCCAAGUUUGUCAACAGACUCAACCUUUGGCCGCCAGGUCUCACAUGGCGCCACUCAAGUGCUGAGCUGCAUUCAUCAGCGCUCUGGGUCAGCAAGAGGGAGUCUAAGUCUGCAGAGUGAAUACCUCCUAUACAUCACUUAUAUCCGUUCCUCCCAGGACUGGAGGAUGAUAAAGCUUAAAAUGAAAUGAAGAGAUCCUUUUGUUUAUCUCUCUGCUUCUGUGUAGGAUCAGCUGGAGAGAACCCAUAAAACAAGGCUGGGCUAAGUAUCUGCUCAGCCCUGCACCAGGCUCGCAGGACGUAACUCAUAAAGAGCCCUGCUCACAGGGGAGUGAGUGGUAGAGAUUUGUAAACCUAAAUUGCUAAUCACUGUG